Molecule: long non-coding RNA, 432 nt
Organism: Oryzias melastigma (Indian medaka)
Lineage: Eukaryota; Metazoa; Chordata; Actinopteri; Beloniformes; Adrianichthyidae
Exons: 3
Source: RefSeq, a predicted model, not a curated record
UAAUUGGUGAAACGCCACUGAAAUCUCUUAAAGUGUGGAGAGACGGCAGGGAGGUGAUGGCAGCAGACGGCUGAUAAAAGCCAGCCGGUGGGACCUGAAGGUGUCUUCUUGGCAGCAGGACUCACUCUACACACCAAAUCUGCAAGAAGAAGCGGAGGAGAACUACAGGGGGGCACUCCAGAUCUUCAACCAAUGAGACUGAAGCUACUUGGGGGGAAUUCUGUUUCCAGAAGGAAAACGGAGUGUUGGGAAGAAAAGCUUGCCUCGGUCGUGUUUGGUUCAGAGACAGGGCUGACAUUAACCUCUGCCACAUUCAAACUCCCACUGCGGGUUUGCAUCAGUGACCCAUCUAUCCAUCCAUCCUCUUCGGUACCGUCUGAAUCCCUUUUGUGGUCAUGAGGUUGCUGGAGCCUAUCCCAGCUUCCGUGGGAC